CUUCCAACACUCUGAAUGGAAAGCGGGUGUAGAGUAAAGCAGAAAAAUAAACGACUCUAUCUCGACCUGUAUGCCUCAGUCUCGGAUGAAAUGGGAGAGAAGAGGAGGGGGAGGGAGGAGAAGGAAGAAAGCAGAUUGUACACCGACGGUUCGGUCACGAUGCCGACGACCAGAAAAAGGCAUUCCAGAUUGUAUCUCUCGAUGGAGAAGAGCCAGAACGAUUCGAAG
Apis cerana (Asiatic honeybee) is the source of this 228-nucleotide long non-coding RNA. RefSeq lists it as uncharacterized. The record is from RefSeq and is a predicted model, not a curated record. NCBI's taxonomy places the organism in Eukaryota, Metazoa, Arthropoda, Insecta, Hymenoptera, Apidae.